RNA transcript from Pongo pygmaeus (Bornean orangutan), 1847 nucleotides. It is a transcript of the gene named capping actin protein of muscle Z-line subunit alpha 3, with no coding region annotated. NCBI's taxonomy places the organism in Eukaryota, Metazoa, Chordata, Mammalia, Primates, Hominidae. The transcript has 3 exons. The record is from RefSeq and is a predicted model, not a curated record.
GUGGUACCUGCACUACCCUGCCCUUGAAACUGUUUGGCUUCUUACGUUCUGACCAUCUCCAAACCCACAAUAUUUGAAAACGCAGCUUUCCCUCAUGUCUGGCAUUUUUCCAUGAACUGCCAUUGUAUCUCCUUUUAUUUUUUACUAUUUUGUUUAAACCCCUCAAACCUUUCAUCAUAAUAUGCUUCCAGUGGGUUUCGGCAGCUACUCUGAGAGCCUGAGUAUAAAUCAACACCAUUGUGAUUCCUGAAGUUGCAAAGUGCUGUCACUCUUGAAACUUUGGGCUGCUUCUCUAGAUCCCUGACAACAUAUAAUGUACACAGAGACACACCACUUUCGAAGAAGACUGUUCAGGAGGCUAAGUUCUUAAAAUCUUCAAAAGAGGUAUAGCUGGUUGGCUGGGCACCACACUGUCAGGUGACUGUCAUUUUUUCCUUUUGGUCUGAAUUCCCAUUGUGAUAUCAUCAGAGGUUCCACACUUCACAAGGAAAGCUUCUUAUGACCUCAUCAGGAGGCUGAAACCUUGCCAGACUGCCUGCUUUCAUGGAUAGACAUAAUAACCUUCAGCUUGAAUGUUAACACCUUGAUGGGAAAGGUGUCUCAUGGAAUGUUUUCUUAUCCUUUGAACACUCUUCAUUUCAGAAGCUUUGCUUCUGUUGCAACCAAACAUGACACUUAGCGUGCUGAGCAGGAAGGACAAGGAAAGAGUAAUUCGCAGACUGUUAUUACAGGCCCCUCCAGGGGAAUUUGUAAAUGCCUUUGAUGAUCUCUGUCUGCUUAUCCGUGAUGAAAAACUUAUGCACCAUCAAGGUGAGUGUGCAGGCCACCAACACUGCCAAAAAUAUUCUGUACCACUCUGCAUCGACGGAAAUCCAGUACUCUUGUCUCACCACAAUGUAAUGGGCGACUACCGAUUUUUUGACCAUCAAAGCAAACUUUCUUUCAGAUAUGACCUGCUUCAAAAUCAGCUGAAAGACAUCCAAAGUCAUGGUAUCAUUCGGAAUGAGACAGAAUACCUGAGAGUUGUUGUUCUGUGCGCCUUAAAACUGUAUGUGAAUGACCACUAUCCAAAAGGAAAUUGCAACGUGCUGAGAAAAACUGUCAAAAGUAAGGAGUACUUGAUAGCUUGCAUUGAAGAUCACAACUAUGAAACAGGAGAGUGCUGGAACGGACUUUGGAAAUCUAAGUGGAUUUUCCAAGUUAACCCAUUUCUAACCCAAGUAACAGGAAGAAUAUUUGUGCAAGCUCACUUCUUCAGGUGUGUCAACCUUCAUAUUGAAAUAUCCAAGGACCUGAAAGAAAGCUUGGAAAUAGUUAACCAAGCUCAACUGGCUCUAAGUUUUGCAAGGCUUGUGGAAGAGCAAGAGAACAAAUUUCAAGCUGCAGUCUUGGAAGAAUUACAGGAGUUAUCCAAUGAAGCCCUGAGAAAAAUUCUACGAAGGGAUCUUCCAGUGACCCGCACUCUUAUUGACUGGCAGAGGAUAGUCUCCGACUUGAAUCUGGUGAUGUAUCCUAAAUUAGGAUAUGUCAUUUAUUCAAGAAGUGUGUUGUGCAACUGGAUAAUAUAAAGAAUUGCUCCUGAAACACAAGCUCCAUGAGAAGGAUGAUCUCGUCAAUCUCAAGUACCUAAUCCAUUAUUGUCUGUCAUAUGAGAUGGGAACUUGCUAUGUUGCCCAGGCUGGUCUUGAACUCCUGGCCUCAAGGGAUCCUCUUGCUCUGGCCUCCCAAGUUGCUAGGAUUACAGGUGUGAGCCACUGCGCUCAGCAUGUUCACCCUAAUUUGAAUAUUAAAUGUGUCUGCAUGUGUCCUGCUCCUGUUAAUAAACUAAAGGAGGAAUUUUUUUUUCA